RNAcentral lists this ribosomal RNA (406 nucleotides) under uncultured bacterium. RNAcentral describes it as "bacterial SSU rRNA". It matches the Rfam family "Bacterial small subunit ribosomal RNA", at positions 686 to 1105 of the family's 1533-position model. The record is from RNAcentral.
AUGCGUAGAGAUGUGAGACACGAUGCGAGCAGCCCUGCAAUACUGACGCUCAUGCACGAAAGCGUGGAGCAACAGGAUAGAUACCUGGUAGUCCACGCCCUAAACGAUGUCAACUAGGUGUUGGGUGGGUAAAACCAUUUAGUACCGGAGCUAACGCGUGAAGUUGACCGCCUGGGGAGUACGGCCGCAAGGUUAAAACUCAAAGGAAUUGACGGGGACCCGCACAAGCGGUGGAUGAUGUGGAUUAAUUCGAUGCAACGCGAAAAACCUUACCUACCCUUGACAUGCCAGGAACUUGCCAGAGAUGGCUUGGUGCCCGAAAGGGAGCCUGGACACAGGUGCUGCAUGGCUGUCGUCAGCUCGUGUCGUGAGAUGUUGGGUUAAGUCCCGCAACGAGCGCAACCCU